GCUUAGCCCUAAACCCAAGUAGUUAAACAACAAAACUACUCGCCAGGAAACUACUAGCAAAUGCUUAAAACUCAAAGGACUUGGCGGUGCCCUAAACCCAUCUAGAGGAGCCUGUUCUAUAAUCGAUAAACCCCGAUAAACCUCACCCCUUUUUGCUAAUACAGCCUAUAUACCGCCAUCGUCAGCUAACCUCAAAAGAGAAACACAGUAAGCAAAAUUAUUCUCCAUAAAAACGUUAGGUCAAGGUGUAGCAUAUAAAGGGGAAAGAAAUGGGCUACAUUUUCUAUAUUAGAACAUACGAAUUACCCUAUGAAACUUCAGGUAUGAAGGUGGAUUUAGUAGUAAAUUAAGAAUAGAGAGCUUAAUUGAAAUAGGCAAUAGGGCGCGC
This 388-nucleotide ribosomal RNA is filed under the name Distoechurus pennatus (New Guinean feather-tailed possum). RNAcentral describes it as "partial 12S ribosomal RNA". It matches the Rfam family "Bacterial small subunit ribosomal RNA", at positions 794 to 1384 of the family's 1533-position model. Lineage: Eukaryota; Metazoa; Chordata; Mammalia; Diprotodontia; Acrobatidae. The record is from RNAcentral.